GCCAGUCGAGAUCGCCCCCCGUCAGCGAGUUUCGCCCACGGGGGCUUAUUGU
RNAcentral lists this signal recognition particle RNA (52 nucleotides) under Lentibacter algarum. Its description in RNAcentral is "ffh sRNA". It matches the Rfam family "ffh sRNA". Lineage: Bacteria; Pseudomonadati; Pseudomonadota; Alphaproteobacteria; Rhodobacterales; Roseobacteraceae. The record is from RNAcentral.